RNAcentral lists this ribosomal RNA (469 nucleotides) under uncultured bacterium. Its description in RNAcentral is "partial 16S ribosomal RNA". It matches the Rfam family "Bacterial small subunit ribosomal RNA", at positions 28 to 507 of the family's 1533-position model. The record is from RNAcentral.
GACGAACGCUGGCGGCGUGCUUAACACAUGCAAGUCGAACGGAAAGGCCCUGCUUUUGUGGGGUGCUCGAGUGGCGAACGGGUGAGUAACACGUGAGUAACCUGCCCUUGACUUCGGGAUAACUUCAGGAAACUGGGGCUAAUACCGGAUAGGAAUCCUUGCUGCAUGGUGGGGGUUGGAAAGCUUCGGCGGUUUUGGAUGGACUCGCGGCUUAUCAGCUUGUUGGUGGGGUAGUGGCUUACCAAGGCUUUGACGGGUAGCCGGCCUGAGAGGGCGACCGGCCACAUUGGGACUGAGAUACGGCCCAGACUCCUACGGGAGGCAGCAGUGGGGAAUAUUGCACAAUGGGCGGAAGCCUGAUGCAGCAACGCCGCGUGCGGGAUGACGGCCUUCGGGUUGUAAACCGCUUUCAGCAGGGGCGAAGCUUGUGGUGACGGUACCUGCAGAAGAAGCACCGGCUAACUACGUG